This 45-nucleotide non-coding RNA is filed under the name Trypanosoma lewisi. Lineage: Eukaryota; Euglenozoa; Kinetoplastea; Trypanosomatida; Trypanosomatidae. The record is from RNAcentral.
GUUAUAACACAAACAAUAGAACAGAGUUGAGUGGAGAUAUAAAUG